This 630-nucleotide ribosomal RNA is filed under the name Pleurotus pulmonarius. RNAcentral describes it as "eukaryotic LSU rRNA". The stretch from base 245 to 398 matches the Rfam family "5.8S ribosomal RNA". The record is from RNAcentral. Lineage: Eukaryota; Fungi; Basidiomycota; Agaricomycetes; Agaricales; Pleurotaceae.
AAGGAUCAUUAAUGAAUUCACUAUGGAGUUGUUGCUGGCCUCUAGGGGCAUGUGCACGCUUCACUAGUCUUUCAACCACCUGUGAACUUUUGAUAGAUCUGUGAAGUCGUCCUUCAAGUCGUCAGACUUGGUUUGCUGGGAUUUAAACGUCUCGGUGUGACAACGCAGUCUAUUUACUUAACACACCCCAAAUGUAUGUCUACGAAUGUCAUUUAAUGGGCCUUGUGCCUAUAAACCAUAAUACAACUUUCAACAACGGAUCUCUUGGCUCUCGCAUCGAUGAAGAACGCAGCGAAAUGCGAUAAGUAAUGUGAAUUGCAGAAUUCAGUGAAUCAUCGAAUCUUUGAACGCACCUUGCGCCCCUUGGUAUUCCGAGGGGCAUGCCUGUUUGAGUGUCAUUAAAUUCUCAAACUCACAUUUAUUUGUGAUGUUUGGAUUGUUGGGGGUUGCUGGCUGUAACAAGUCGGCUCCUCUUAAAUGCAUUAGCAGGACUUCUCAUUGCCUCUGCGCAUGAUGUGAUAAUUAUCACUCAUCAAUAGCACGCAUGAAUAGAGUCCAGCUCUCUAAUCGUCCGCAAGGACAAUUUGACAAUUUGACCUCAAAUCAGGUAGGACUACCCGCUGAACUUAA